This 1585-nucleotide long non-coding RNA is filed under the name Homo sapiens (human). Its description in RNAcentral is "non-protein coding lnc-SOCS2-6:1". The record is from RNAcentral. Lineage: Eukaryota; Metazoa; Chordata; Mammalia; Primates; Hominidae.
CUUUCCAUAGUGGAGCCUGGGCUACUCUGAAAUAGAAGCACCUCUCCUUCCUUUGGACCCCUGGAGCACUGUGUUCUACAGUUCUUAGCUCUUUUUCUGUGUGCAUUAUUUGUAUGUCUUAUCCUUGGUGGUCAACCACUUCAAGGUGAGAGACUGGGGUGGUGGUUCCUUUUUUUUAUUUUUUAAUCUCCCCUGCCCCAUCUUUCUCUUUCCCACUUCCUAUGUUGACUGACAAAAUCUUCGUAUUUCCCAGAGUACCAGAGUUUUUCUGUGAGAGGCUAGGUCAGUGUUUCUCCCCAAGCAGAGGCUAAGAAGUACCUGAUGCAGUCAUUUAUUUUCAGAAUGUGUGUAGCUUGCCUCCAGCGGAUUGCCUGGGAAGCUGGAGAUGUGCUUCAGGGGAAAGGUGGUCCAUCCACUUUUCCUGAACAGGCUGUGCAUGCAGCCUUGACAUAGCCAACUCUGCAGGAGCAUGAAAGAACUGAAGAUACAGUAUUCGACUUCCAGUAUUUCUAAUCACUUUAGAGACAGGAUGACGAUUGGUUUAGAAGAGCCAGGGGAUGACUAAGGAGCACAUGUAAAACAAUAAUGUUCAGUAUAGACUUUAGUUUCUGAUUUGAAACAUUUUCUAAAAAAUCAUGUAUCUUUAAAAAAUUGGAAGCAGCUCAGUGUUUGCUGGAGAUGAGGCAUAGAGUGUGGUGGAAGGGAGGGAUGACAAAGGGGCAGGCAGAGACUUUGAGGGAUGAGGGGUGUGCACAUCACCUUGCUGGUGGGGACUGUUUCAUGGUUGGAUACAUGUGUGAAAGCAUAUCAAAUUGCAUGCUUUAAAUAUGUGCAGUUUCCUGUGUAUCAAGUAUACCUCAAUAAAGUAGUUAAAAAUGGUAUACCUUUAUUAUGCUGAAAGAAGGGAAAAUUUGGAAAGGAGAUGUUUUUCUGUAGAAGAUAGCUUCUAGAAAGGAAAAUCAAACACAGUCUAAGUUAUUCUCUGUUUUGUUCUCCUCCCUCCACAGAUGUCUUGUUGUUUUGGGUCCUCUUAUCUAAAAUUUCACAAUAUGUGAAAGUAGCCUGAACUCUAAAGGUAGUAGUUGUGGUUUUGGGAAACUGUGUGUUCGUACUGCCUCUGUAAAUGGAACACAAGCCUCUCCUACCCUCUGGGGAGCUUGUCACUUAGUACAGUUUUUUAGGAACUCCUAAGAAGUUUAAGUUCUGGCCACAGGUCCCAGAGUUAAGGAUGUUGUCAACUCUGCUACUCAUUUGAAAAAUGUCUUGUGGAACCUAUAGCCGCAGAAAGAGCUUUGUUUCUCUGGGUGAAAACAACAUACAUUAUCAUUUCUAAUAACUUUAAUGGAUGCUGCUGCUUUCUUCUUUUUGGCCCCCAAGAUACUCAGAGAUAAACUUGAAACUCAACUAUAGGUGGGGGGAGGGGGAAGGGAUAGCUUUAGGAAAUAUACCUAAUGCUAAAUGACGAGUUAAUGGGUGUAGCACACCAGCAUGGCACAUGUAUACAUAUGUAACUAACCUGCACAUUGUGCACAUGUACCCUAAAACUUAAAGUAUUAUGAUAAUAAUAAAAAAAAAAGAAACUCAA